CAGGUAGAACCCCAGGCUGUGGAGUCGUACUGCCUGAUAAGCAUUCUCUCCACCUGUUAAUAGCUGUGUGGCCUCAGGUCUUCUGAGAAGCAGAUGCCAAGAUGGAACCAGAAAUGCAAGAGAUUUAUUGGAGAAAAUACCUGUGCCAGAACAGAGAAGAGGGGACCAUGUGAAGUUGACAUCUACAAGCCCAGCAGAGAGGC
Non-coding RNA from Manis javanica (Malayan pangolin), 203 nucleotides. Lineage: Eukaryota; Metazoa; Chordata; Mammalia; Pholidota; Manidae. The record is from RefSeq and is a predicted model, not a curated record.